This 1084-nucleotide small RNA is filed under the name Pan troglodytes (chimpanzee). RNAcentral describes it as "retained intron". The record is from RNAcentral. Lineage: Eukaryota; Metazoa; Chordata; Mammalia; Primates; Hominidae.
AAAAAAAGAAGACGAGUAUACAAAAGUGUUGUGUGUUGUGAUGUGGUGAAAGGCACAGGUACAUUGCUGGGAGGGGUUAAAGGAGAGGGCAUGUGUUUGAAGGUCAGGGCAGGCUCUUUAGAGGGAUAGCAUUUGCUAACUUAGUGAUAGGCAGUUUGUUGCAUUAUGGAACUUGUAGUUGAACAUUUUUCUCCUUUAUUAAAUGUUAGAAGUCUUGGAAAGGACUAUAUCCUGCUAAAUUUUACUCUUUAGGUACUGUAAUUUGGGAGUCACCUAUAAAUACAGGUCGGGUUCUCUUGGUUCACUCACUUUCCAGAUACCCGAAGUUACUAUUGAGUGAACAUUCCUUCUGCCUGCACAUGCAGCAGUCUUCCAGGCAAAUACUAACCUUGGCUGGUACUUGGUGAUGCACACUACCAAUACCAAGCCUUUUUUUCUCUUCCACAGGUGGCUGGUGAAGGUGCUGAUCACCACAGAUGAGUUUGAUGCCUACAUCAUUGUGUCUUUCGUGAAUGCCACCCUAGUGUUGUCCAUUGGAGAAACUGUAGAAGAAGUGACUGACUCUGGGUUCCUGGGGACCACCCCGACCUUGUCCUGCUCCUUAUUAGGAGAUGAUGCCUUGGUGCAGGUCUAUCCAGAUGGCAUUCGGCACAUACGAGCAGACAAGAGAGUCAAUGAGUGGAAGACCCCUGGAAAGAAAACAAUUGUGAAGUGUGCAGUGAACCAGCGACAAGUGGUGAUUGCCCUGACAGGAGGAGAGCUGGUCUAUUUCGAGAUGGAUCCUUCAGGACAGCUGAAUGAGUACACAGAACGGAAGGAGAUGUCAGCAGAUGUGGUGUGCAUGAGUCUGGCCAAUGUACCCCCUGGAGAGCAGCGGUCUCGCUUCCUGGCUGUGGGGCUUGUGGACAACACUGUCAGAAUCAUCUCCCUGGAUCCCUCAGACUGUUUGCAACCUCUAAGCAUGCAGGCUCUCCCAGCCCAGCCUGAGUCCUUGUGUAUCGUGGAAAUGGGUGGGACUGAGAAGCAGGAUGAGCUGGGUGAGAGGGGCUCGAUUGGCUUCCUAUACCUGAAUAUUGGGCUACAG